AUGGAGGUGGAGAGGCCCGUGUCCAUGAUGCCGGGCCUGGCCGACGGGUUCUUCACGGAGGCCGACCUGGCGGCGGCGGACCAGCUGGUGCAGCUCAGCGUGAGCGGGGGAGCGGAGGCGACAUCCCCGACGUCGUCCUCGCGGUCGGUGCAGUCGGUGAACAACACCGAGGCGGCGGCGAGGAAGGGCGGCUGCGAUGACGGCGCGCCGUGGCUGGACAGGAGGGCGAGGAAGCGGUACCGGCGGGUGGCGGAGCUCUACCACGCCACGCGGCCGCUUAAGCGCACGGACGCCGGCGGCAAGCGGAGGAGGGAGGAGGUCACGGGGUACCAUACCUACGCUUUCACCCCGGAGCUCGAGACAGGGUGCUCGAGUAGCACCGCAAUUGACGUCUUCUAUGUGUUGUCACCAUCACUUUUCCACAAUCCAUGUAGCUACGACGGCCGUCGCUGCACAACCAUCCCUCUGCGCCAAGCCAUUGUGUAUAGUUUGCAUCUCACCACGAAGUCAACCACCAGAUCUGAAGGACGAAAUCCUUGCAAAGAUCCUCAAUGGCCACCACAAUCUGCCGCUCCAAAGGCCGCCGGUGCAACCACGGACAGGCCCAAAGGAAUCAGGAUCAAGACGUCAAAGACUCAGCACGUGCCCAGCCAUGCAUGCACCGCGCCACGGCCAGCUCCUCAAGCAUCACCAUGGGAGGCUGCGAUGGACUCUCUGCCAGUCUACACCUGCGCGGAACCACGGCCGCGUCCUUAUGUCGCCCCCGCCUUUUGCACUCGCCGGCGCAAGCUCUUGACCAGCACUUCUAGUCCAGCUCGCCUACCCUACCCCAAAUCCCACCAAAUCCAUCAAACCCUUCCCACCUUCUCCCGCCUCCCUCCAACAUUUCCCGCGUCUGAGCCCUCGCCGUCCGCCACCCUUGCUUCCCAUCCUCGCCGCUGGUUCCAACCCUCCGCCCAAGAUGUCAUCCAGCCCGUCCCCGACCGGCGCGACAAAGGUUGCGUUCGCCUCGUCCAUCGGCAUCCCGUCCUCGGGUUCGUCCUGCAAGCCGAAGAACAUGAUCGUGAGGGACUAGCGACCGAGGUAGCAAGAGAGGGAAGCUUUGGCAUCAGAGGGAGUGGAUGCAGACAUGGACUAUCAGUUGUCCCCUCCCCCACCGCGCCCAGGACCCCGCACCACAUCCUUCACGACGUUGACAAGGAUCACGCGUCGGACCAGGUUGGGACAGAGGUGGAUCCGACGGACUGUUGGGGCAUCCCGGAGAGCUUUCCGCCCACGCUGAUGUUGGCGAUGGAUGUCUGUCACUCGCCACAGCUGGUUCUGGCGCAGGCAACCACGGGCGCUGGUGGCGCCCGGGCUGCCCACGACCUGUUCGACAUAAUGUUCUUGUUGCUCCUAUCCGAUCAACUUUGCAUGUGCCAAACGGUGGUGGCGGCCACUAUGUAUCAAGUAACGGAGAAUAAGGCAUUUGGUUUUAGCCAUUGUUGGGUGAUAUUGAAUGGCAAAACAAAGUGGACACAGCUUGUGGCCAAUCUCAAGGCCGACAAGAAGAGGAAUGAUGGCUCAAGCUCCCACCAAUCAAUUGGGUUGGACAAAGAAGAGGAAGAUGUUGUAUUGGAUAAUGGAAGAGCCGUCGUGCCAAAGGAUAUCCGGCAAGUCAUGGGAAACAAGUGGGAGAAGGCAAGGGCCUCCCACGAUGCCACGGCUACAAAAAUGUCCUCCACAUGGAUGGAAAUUUUUCCGGUGAGGGAGAACAAGAAAGAGGAGAGGUACAAGCUCAUGUUUGAUGCGCAAAAGGAGAGAAUGGAUUGGGACUGA
RNAcentral lists this ribosomal RNA (1818 nucleotides) under Triticum aestivum (bread wheat). RNAcentral's name for it is "partial small subunit ribosomal RNA". Lineage: Eukaryota; Viridiplantae; Streptophyta; Magnoliopsida; Poales; Poaceae. The record is from RNAcentral.